RNAcentral lists this ribosomal RNA (467 nucleotides) under uncultured bacterium. RNAcentral's name for it is "partial 16S ribosomal RNA". It matches the Rfam family "Bacterial small subunit ribosomal RNA", at positions 28 to 507 of the family's 1533-position model. The record is from RNAcentral.
GACGAACGCUGGCGGCGUGCUUAACACAUGCAAGUCGAACGGAAAGGCCUCUUUCGGGGGGUACUCGAGUGGCGAACGGGUGAGUAACACGCGAGUAACCUGCCCUUGACUUUGGGAUAACUUCAGGAAACUGGGGCUAAUACCGGAUAGGAGCUCCUGCUGCAUGGUGGGGGUUGGAAAGUUUCGGCGGUUGGGGAUGGACUCGCGGCUUAUCAGCUUGUUGGUGGGGUAGUGGCUUACCAAGGCUUUGACGGGUAGCCGGCCUGAGAGGGUGACCGGCCACAUUGGGACUGAGAGACGGCCCAGACUCCUACGGGAGGCAGCAGUGGGGAAUAUUGCACAAUGGGUGGAAGCCUGAUGCAGCAACGCCGUGUGCGGGAUGACGGCCUUCGGGUUGUAAACCGCUUUCGCUCAUGACGAAGCUUUGUGUGACGGUAGUGGGUAAAGAAGCACCGGCUAACUACGUG